AUUGAACGCUGGCGGCAGGCCUAACACAUGCAAGUCGAACGGUAACAGGAAACAGCUUGCUGUUUCGCUGACGAGGCGGACGGGUGAGUAAUGUCUGGGAAACUGCCUGAUGGAGGGGGAAAACUACUGGAAACGGUAGCUAAUACCGCAUAACGUCGCAAGACCAAAGAGGGGGACCUUCGGGCCUCUUGCCAUCGGAUGUGCCCAGAUGGGAUUAGCUUGUUGGUGGGGUAACGGCUCACCAAGGCGACGAUCCCUAGCUGGUCUGAGAGGAUGACCAGCCACACUGGAACUGAGACACGGUCCAGACUCCUACGGGAGGCUGCAGUCGAGGAUCAUUCGCAAUGGGCGCAAGCCUGACGAUGCGACGCUGCGUGGAGGACGAAGGCCUUCGGGUUGUAAACUCCUGUCAUGGGGGAAAAAGGUCCCGCGGCCGAAUAGACCGCGGGCUCGAUGGUACCCCAAGAGGAAGCCACGGCUAACUCUGUGCCAGCAGCCGCGGUAA
RNAcentral lists this ribosomal RNA (505 nucleotides) under uncultured bacterium. RNAcentral's name for it is "partial 16S ribosomal RNA". It matches the Rfam family "Bacterial small subunit ribosomal RNA", at positions 29 to 523 of the family's 1533-position model. The record is from RNAcentral.